GCAGCCCCUGCACAAGGAUGACACACAAAUUCGUGAAGCGUUCCAUAUUUUU
RNAcentral lists this small nuclear RNA (52 nucleotides) under Erinaceus europaeus (western European hedgehog). The record is from RNAcentral. Lineage: Eukaryota; Metazoa; Chordata; Mammalia; Eulipotyphla; Erinaceidae.